Meleagris gallopavo (turkey) is the source of this 4240-nucleotide non-coding RNA. Lineage: Eukaryota; Metazoa; Chordata; Aves; Galliformes; Phasianidae. The record is from RefSeq and is a predicted model, not a curated record.
CUCUGCAGGUCUAUCUGAGCUCCUUUCUUAGUUGGUGUUUCUGAGGAUCAGCUCUCAACUCUUGCCAGUGUCUUCAGCUGAUAUAAAACCAUGGACCACAUCACACAGUAGGAAAGAUUGAGUUUUCUUCCCAAGAAAAGGAGAAAUGCCUCCUGUGAAGCAUGGUGAAGGCAUGCCUGGAGGGCAGCGCUGCUGGCAUCGUGGGGUCACUGUAGGGCAGCACUCUCAGCUGCCCUGCUCAACGUACAGCCAGGCCAGGAGAGCAGGCAGGGCAUGCCUUGGCAAGGAGAUGGUGUGACACACUGGGCCAGAUCCCCUCCUGUAGCGCUAGGUGGGAGCACAGCAUAAGCAGGGCAGCAACGACAUUGGUGUGGGGCUGGAGUGGACUUUUGUGUUGCAGUGUCAUAUGCUUAGGCAGAAAUUCACUUGACCUUUUUUGGAAGGAGGAAGGCAGUGCUGAUCAUUCUUGGCCACUGUGCUGAAUAUGUGCUAGUUCACUUGCUGAUGGUGAUGUGUUUCCCAGCACAGAGAAGGCUUGUGUGUAUGCAGUUUUCUCUUAAGGUCAGAGUGUGCCGUAACACCCCUGAAACAGUAAACAGUGACGGACUGUGAAAGAUGCUGUACUCAUAACUUACCCAGGACGUUUUUGGCAUGCCAUAUAACCAGUGCCAAGGAAAGGUUUUCAGACUGUGGUGAUGCGCUGUCUCCUCAUGUUUUGCAGCCUUUCCUGGUGAAGGUAACUUCUUGUUGUGAUGGCAAAUCCCUACAGAAUGAAACAGGGCACUUCAGGGGGGCAUGUUCCCAUGGGAAAUCUCAGAAGAAAACAGAUGGAAACCAAACAUUCUUUGCUCAAAGAACCCUAGGAGAGGUGCAGUAUGUGUCAAGCCAUGAAAGCUACUUCAGGAAACCCAAGCCAUUCUUAUGAAGUAUGUACAAUAAGGUAGAAAUCUUUUCCAACCUUAGUGAUUAUAAAACCAUCAAGUCCAACUGUCAAGGCAUCACCACAACUGUAUAUUAAUCUUCAGACAUGUACACGCAUGGAAUGGAUUUAGGACUUCUGGUGGCCAAACCUCACACAAUGGGCACUGGUGAAUCUGCUGUGCCAAAACUAUUUAUUUGGCUGAGUUUCAGCCACCACUGUGACAUUAUUUCCAUUGCCCUUGAGUUCUGUCUGAACCUCUCCUAAACCCAGCUUCAUUAUUUUCUUACUAGUGAGCGGCCUGCUGGUGGAAAGCACGCUCCUGAAAGCUCAUGCACUCAGGCUCAUGAGGGAAGUCUGCUGUGGGAUACUCCUCACCAAUGAAUUGUACAGCACAGUUGCUUUUACCCACUUCUAGCAGCAUCACAGUGACACCAGUAUAAAAGCAGCAACUGUGAUUUUAGAGGUUACGCUCUCUUGCUUUUCUCCAGAGAUGGUUGGCCUUCCUGGGGAAGCCUUUUGUAAUGGAUGCAGGGAAAAGAAGCAGCCAUAUCCCCAUGCUUUUUUACUGCCUUUCUGGCAUUGCACCACUUCCUGUGACUCUCUCUCCUCCCAGCGAUGCAUGGCUUUAAGGCUGCAUAGGCUGGGCAAGUUAUAUUUUAGAGUGAGACUCUAUUUAGCUGUGAUGUCAACUGCAGCCAACUAUAAAAAGAUCAGUAAUGCUCUUUGAAAGUCUAACAGCUGCUGUUCUACACCCUCUCUGCUGUAUUAUCACUCUGCCCUAUUUCAUGUGCCACACAGCCAAAACAAAAUAUUGUAGCAAUCCUCUCAUUAUAUAACUCAAGGAAUGGGGGAUAAACUCCCUAGAAGCUAGGAGAAACUUGAGGUGAGCCAAACUGGGCAAUUUUACACAGUUUUUUAACAAAAAGGUAAUUUUAUCUGGGUUUGCAAUGUAGCAUGCUUUUUCCUUAGCAGUUGACUGCAUGCCAUUAGCAAUUCCAGCACAAUGACAGCAGACAUGCAAAGCUUUGCUUUGGGCAGCUUUGCUGCAUGUUACUCAUAUACAGUUAUAAACUGAGCUUGUCUGGACUGCAUGGAGUGAGUUCAGCAGUAUAUUACCUAGCAUAUGAAGCACAUCUUUGUCCUUAGCUGGGUGUGACCACAUGUUCGAAACCACAUUCAGGGUUCUCCUAGAGUCAAAAUCAGAAAACAAGUUCUGUUUACCCAGAGUGAGCAGACAGCGAGUAAUAAAUGUGGAAUUGUGCUAGCAAAAUACACUGUGGCAGUACUGGAAAUGGGGUCUUGGCUGGGCCUCUGAAUAUUCCUGGAGAAUAGGAAAAAAAAGUUGUCUCCUGGAGUAAGCUUCACUCCUGGAGACAACUUGUAAAUCAUGUACUAAUAAAUGAUGUUCAAGAAGUGUGCUGAGGCAAUAUGAGAAGUGGAGCAUCGCCCUGUGGCUUGGUCAGCCAUGGCAGGCUGGGUGUGCAUUAGCCCAGACAGCAAAGUGCAGCCUUCAGGCUGAUGGAAAGCUCCAAGCCUCCUCUGCUCCAGGUCCCUUCCUUGGUGGGACAAACCAAUGCAAAAAGGCUGCUCUGUUGUAUCUGGGCCAGUUGUAUUUGUUUUGUAGUGCAGAUAGGGCCUUUGUAGUGGGGAUGGAGAAUGGCCUGUUUGUAAGUGACACGCAAAGUCCUUUGACACAGGUCUGAAGUGGCAUUGAGCUCACUUGUCUGAGAGGAAAUGGUCGGCUUCCAACACGGCUGUUACCAAAGGUGACAAGACAGUUAGGCAAUGUGAGGAGUGAUUUUGCAUCAGGCAAAGCCUCUGGGCUGGAAUCGAGCCCACCAUGGCACAGGCUUGCCUGUGUCUGAGCCCUGCCUGAGCUCACUGAGCCCUGGCACCCAGCACCCACACAGGGACAUUGCAGAAGUACCCAGAAAUGAAAGCAAGUGGCCUGAAGACACACGGAAAGCUUGUGAGCAAGCCAAGGAGCAGCCUCAAUGUCAGCUUCCUGGCUCUGUUGAAAAUCCUUGGGGAGGCUCCCCUGCUUUCACUCACUUCCCACUGUUUGCAGGUGUGAGCAGUGUCUGGCAGCUCUGGUUACAUGCAGGCUGGAGAAAAACAGACCCACCCCAGCUGUUUUCCGGCAGCAGUGCCACAUAACGACCCCGUGGAUUAAUGAGCCCAGCAGAGGCUGCUGGGAGCAGGGUCUUGUCAUCUGGGGUUUGCUUCUACUUCAUGAUCCCAGAGGCGCAAGCAGCAGGCAGCACAGCAUGGCACUGCCAUCGCUUGAUUGCUUUGCUCUGGAAACUGCUCAACCAAAACGAUCCCCGUGGAUCUCUGGUCCUUUCUCAGCUCACUGAAACCAGAUGUACUUCUCAUACAAGUAUAGAGAUGGUAAAAGAUUGUAUAUUUUUAUUCAACAGUUCAUGUUGCAAGCUCAUGCAAGAAUCAGACUGAGAGAAUUUCCUAGAGACCACUAGACUCAAACUGAAAGCACGAAGCACAGCAGUGAACCCAGUGGGGCUCAGCACCCAACCUCGCAGUCCAGGAGAUGAAAUCCCUCAAGAAACAGCUAGACUUGGAGCUUCACGUUGUCAAAGGGAAUUGCUGAACUAACUCUUACCAACAUGUUAGAAGGUGAUCAACAGUGAGAUAAUUACAUUUCACACGCAAAAUGAUAUGAGGGGUCAUCAUGUAUGCCCAAGGACCUGAACUGGACAUUUCACACCACAGGUUCAACUAGCAAAGAUUGCUACUGCCCUCUUUUUGAAUAGAGAAGCUUAGCAAGAACUGGCUGCCUGUUCUUGAUAGCAGGGUGCUGGGAGGUACUGGACACAGAGCUGCUGACGCUUUGCAAUCCAUCUGGCAAAAGAUUUUCUUAUCCAGGUUUGAUCUGAAAAGACAUUUCAGUAUCUGCUUCCAUUUAACUGGAAAAUACAGCAGUAUUUCAUUACAUGUCUUGUAUUUAUGUGAAUGUUUUAUUCUCUGUGUUUUGCUGUUAUAUAAAGGCUACACAAUGAUUACAAUGAUAAGCACUCCAUAGAGUCCUGUAACAAAAGCAACACAUAGGAGAUUCACAUUCACAUCCUUUUGAGCCUAAGAGCUUGUCUCUGCUAGACAGACUUUGUUGCUGUGGGUGUCUCUGUGAGGUUAAAGAUGUGGUCUUCCUGCCUGUGUCUGUAGAGCUGCAUCUAAAUGAAGGCUUUUAUCGGUGUGACUGUGUCAGCAAAGGACACAGCUCUUAACUCACAUACUUGCGCUAGUAAGGCUCUUCAAGUGGCAGGCAAUUUCUGAAGACAGAAGUAAGAGAAUUGCUUCUUU